AGUCCUUUUGAAGAUUGAGAUUCCGGUGAGGGUGAGGGAGGACGAACGAGAAUGCCCGUUACGUGACUGAAACAGCCCAUGUGGAUCCUCCUCUUGGUGACGUGUCUCAACUGGAUUGCGUGGUUCCCAUUCUUACUAUUCGACACCGACUGGAUGGGCCGCGAGGUCUACGGAGGAACGGUUGCGGCCCGCCCCGUGAAUAUAAAACGGGGCUAAGAUUACUUACAGUAUACCCUUUGCUCUGGCAUCCAUAUUCUCCAGCACCUCAAGGGCAGGCCAAGCCAAAUGAUGCUUCAAGUGUUCCUAAUACACCUUUGGAUGCAAGAGGAUCUUCUAGUGCUAACAACCCUUAGUUUGCUUAUAAUGUAUUUUGGAUUUAAAGUUUAAUUAGUUCAAGACUAAUAUUACUUUUUUAUGGAUUUUAUGUCAUACUUUGAUUUACAAUAGAAAUUUGAAUUGUAAAUUUUUGAACUAUACACUGUUAUUUUUGUUAUUGGAAAUAUAAUUUCUACGUCCACAUUA
Molecule: long non-coding RNA, 522 nt
Organism: Cajanus cajan (pigeon pea)
Lineage: Eukaryota; Viridiplantae; Streptophyta; Magnoliopsida; Fabales; Fabaceae
Source: RefSeq, a predicted model, not a curated record